RNAcentral lists this transfer RNA (72 nucleotides) under Candidatus Doudnabacteria bacterium RIFCSPHIGHO2_01_FULL_46_14. RNAcentral's name for it is "tRNA-OTHER". It matches the Rfam family "tRNA". From Rfam's summary of the family: Transfer RNA (tRNA) molecules are approximately 80 nucleotides in length. Their secondary structure includes four short double-helical elements and three loops (D, anti-codon, and T loops). Lineage: Bacteria; Candidatus Doudnaibacteriota. The record is from RNAcentral.
GACGAGAUAGUUCAAUUGGUAGAACGGCGGCUUCCAAGCCGUAGGUUGUAGGUUCGAUGCCUGCUCUCGUCG